This 253-nucleotide ribosomal RNA is filed under the name uncultured bacterium. RNAcentral describes it as "partial 16S ribosomal RNA". It matches the Rfam family "Bacterial small subunit ribosomal RNA", at positions 524 to 776 of the family's 1533-position model. The record is from RNAcentral.
UACAGAGGGCUCGAGCGUUAAUCGGAAUCACUGGGCUUAAAGCGUGCGUAGGCGGAUGCAAAGGCACCUUGUGAAAUCCCUCGGCUCAACCGAGGAAUUGCUUGGUGAACCAUGCAUCUUGAGGCAGGUAGGGGUGGCUGGAACGAUAGGUGGAGCGGUGAAAUGCGUAGAUAUCUAUCGGAACGCCAAAGGAGAAGUCAGGCCACUGGGCCUGUCCUGACGCUGAGGCACGAAAGCGUGGGGAGCAAACGGG